Molecule: ribosomal RNA, 473 nt
Filed under: uncultured bacterium
Lineage: Bacteria
Description: bacterial SSU rRNA
Rfam family: Bacterial small subunit ribosomal RNA
Source: RNAcentral
ACUCCUACGGGAGGCAGCAGUAGGGAAUCUUCCACAAUGGGCGCAAGCCUGAUGGAGCAACACCGCGUGAGUGAAGAAGGGUUUCGGCUCGUAAAGCUCUGUUGUUAAAGAAGAACACGUAUGAGAGUAACUGUUCAUACGUUGACGGUAUUUAACCAGAAAGUCACGGCUAACUACGUGCCAGCAGCCGCGGUAAUACGUAGGUGGCAAGCGUUAUCCGGAUUUAUUGGGCGUAAAGAGAGUGCAGGCGGUUUUCUAAGUCUGAUGUGAAAGCCUUCGGCUUAACCGGAGAAGUGCAUCGGAAACUGGAUAACUUGAGUGCAGAAGAGGGUAGUGGAACUCCAUGUGUAGCGGUGGAAUGCGUAGAUAUAUGGAAGAACACCAGUGGCGAAGGCGGCUACCUGGUCUGCAACUGACGCUGAGAUUCGAAAGCAUGGGUAGCGAACAGGAUUAGAUACCCUGGUAGGAUAGCG